RNAcentral lists this ribosomal RNA (300 nucleotides) under uncultured Aeropyrum sp. Its description in RNAcentral is "partial 16S ribosomal RNA". The stretch from base 55 to 300 matches the Rfam family "Bacterial small subunit ribosomal RNA", at positions 547 to 794 of the family's 1533-position model. Lineage: Archaea; Thermoproteati; Thermoproteota; Thermoprotei; Acidilobales; Acidilobaceae. The record is from RNAcentral.
CCCGAUAACGUACGGCAGUAAGACGCGGAAAGGCGGGGGGAGGAAGCGGGGGCCGGAAGCAGUGGGCGUAAAGAGCUCGUAGGUGGUCUGUUACGGCUGCUGGGAAAGCCGAGGGUGUAACCCGGGUCCGGCAGGGGAGACGGGCAGACGAGAGGUAGGUAGGGGAGAAGGGAAUGCCCGGUGUAGCGGUGAAAUGCGCAGAUAUCGGGAGGAACACCGGUGGCGAAGGCGGUUCUCUGGGCCUUACCUGACACUGAGGAGCGAAAGCGUGGGGAGCGAACAGGAUUAGAUACCCGGAGC